GGCACCUCGAUGUCGGCUCAUCACAUCCUGGGGCUGAAGUAGGUCCCAAGGGUAUGGCUGUUCGCCAUUUAAAGUGGUACGCGAGCUGGGUUUAGAACGUCGUGAGACAGUUCGGUCCCUAUCUGCCGUGGGCGCUGGAGAAUUGAGGGGGGCUGCUCCUAGUACGAGAGGACCGGAGUGGACGCAUCACUGGUGUUCGGGUUGUCAUGCCAAUGGCACUGCCCGGUAGCUAAAUGCGGAAGAGAUAAGUGCUGAAAGCAUCUAAGCACGAAACUUGCCCCGAGAUGAGUUCUCCCUGACCCUUUAAGGGUCCUGAAGGAACGUUGAAGACGACGACGUUGAUAGGCCGGGUGUGUAAGCGCAGCGAUGCGUUGAGCUAACCGGUACUAAUGAACCGUGAGGCUUAACCUUACAACGCCGAAGCUGUU
Molecule: ribosomal RNA, 428 nt
Filed under: Escherichia coli
Lineage: Bacteria; Pseudomonadati; Pseudomonadota; Gammaproteobacteria; Enterobacterales; Enterobacteriaceae
Description: partial 23S ribosomal RNA
Rfam family: Bacterial large subunit ribosomal RNA
Source: RNAcentral